CUUGCCCCCGGGCCCGCGCCCGCCGAAGACACCCUCGAACUCUGUCUGAAGAUUGUAGUCUGAGUGGAAUUAUAAAUUGUUAAAACUUUCAACAACGGAUCUCUUGGUUCCGGCAUCGAUGAAGAACGCAGCGAAAUGCGAUACGUAAUGUGAAUUGCAGAAUUCAGUGAAUCAUCGAGUCUUUGAACGCACAUUGCGCCCCCUGGUAUUCCGGGGGGCAUGCCUGUCCGAGCGUCAUUGCUGCCCUCAAGCCCGGCUUGUGUGUUGGGUCUCGUCCCCCGUUCGGGGGGCGGGCCCGAAAGGCAGCGGCGGCACCGCGUCCGGUCCUCGAGCGUAUGGGGCUUUGUCACCCGCUCUGUAGGCCCGGCCGGCGCCUGCCGAUCAACCAAUUUCUUUCCAGGUUGACCUCGGAUCAGGUAGGGAUACCCGCUGAACUUAAGCAUAUCAAUAAGCGGAGGA
This 459-nucleotide ribosomal RNA is filed under the name uncultured fungus. RNAcentral's name for it is "eukaryotic LSU rRNA". The stretch from base 84 to 237 matches the Rfam family "5.8S ribosomal RNA". The record is from RNAcentral. Lineage: Eukaryota; Fungi.